GGGAAUAUUGGACAAUGGGCGAAAGCCUGAUCCAGCAAUGCCGCGUGGGUGAAGAAGGUUUUCGGAUUGUAAAGCCCUUUCGGCGGGGACGAUGAUGACGGUACCCGCAGAAGAAGCUCCGGCUAACUUCGUGCCAGCAGCCGCGGUAAUACGAAGGGGGCUAGCGUUGCUCGGAAUGACUGGGCGUAAAGGGCGCGUAGGCGGUUUGUACAGUUGGAUGUGAAAUUCCUGGGCUUAACCUGGGGGCUGCAUUUGAGACGCGUGGUCUAGAGUAUGAAAGAGGGUCGUGGAAUUCCCAGUGUAGAGGUGAAAUUCGUAGAUAUUGGGAAGAACACCGGUGGCGAAGGCGGCGACCUGGUUCAUUUACUGACGCUGAGGCGCGAAAGCGUGGGGAGCAAAC
Molecule: ribosomal RNA, 400 nt
Filed under: uncultured bacterium
Lineage: Bacteria
Description: bacterial SSU rRNA
Rfam family: Bacterial small subunit ribosomal RNA
Source: RNAcentral